Long non-coding RNA from Harpia harpyja (harpy eagle), 854 nucleotides. RefSeq lists it as uncharacterized. The record is from RefSeq and is a predicted model, not a curated record. The transcript has 3 exons. NCBI's taxonomy places the organism in Eukaryota, Metazoa, Chordata, Aves, Accipitriformes, Accipitridae.
AAAUAUCUAAUCUAAGAUGUGAUUUUAAAGUCUUUUCUGCAAUCAAUAGUUCAACACAAUGAACUAUUACAUGCCCUGUUACACAAUAGUAGGAGAGGUGCAGCUAGACUGUCGGUACACAGGUGAAACUAAGAGAGAUGGUAAUAACCCUUUAUGUGAUGACUCUUGCAACAACCACCACAACGCACUCUGAGUUUGCCAUCCAGUCUGGUGUCACAUGAAAAACGUUUUGUGCAUGUUUCCUCUAGUUUGGAGAAUAGAAAGCUCCCUAACUGAGGAAGGAGGAUUCUAGAAGAACCCAAAAAGCAAUCUGAAAUGAGACACUACAGAACUGUGAAGGAGCCUGUGGGCGCUCUCCAUCCACAUGGCUGCUUCUCUAUCAGCUUGUGGACUGCCUGCUUAGAGGCUGUCUGGCAAUAUAUUAACCCCCUGGGCAUGUACAGGCAUUGAAGAUACCAUUAGCUCCAGGACACUUCUCAGUCACACUUCUUGCAAACCAGCAAAACCGGCAGGUCUGGUGAAGCAGGGCUUAUCAUCUGACUCUGCUGUGCCUGGGUACAUAUUGAUAUCAGCAAUGGCCAUGCGCCUGGCCUGGCAGAUGGCCAGGGCAUCGUGGAUGUUUCUGUACUGCUGUACUGGACAGGCUGGAACUUCAGUGUGAACUUGAGUCAAACGGACUGUGACCUGUGGAUGAGUCCAUGCGGGAGCAGGACACCCUGAAGCCUCUGUGGCGGUGGAUGAGUCCACACCAGAGCAGGUAAACCUCAAAGCGUCUGUGGCUGUGGUUAUGUCUGCUGCAGCAGGUAUACCUCUGAAGGGAUUGUGGCCCAAGCAUGAGUCCACACUGGCAAAGG